AAACAGAAUUUAAUUUAUAUUAAAAACUUUAGUUUUUCAUAUUUUAUAGUAAAUAAGUAUUGUGAAAGAAAGGUGAAAAGAUUUUUUUAAAAAUAUUAAAAGAUUCUGAAAUUUAAUGUUGUAGCAAUUAAACUAUUUUAGUUUAAUGUACCUCUUGUAUAAUGGACUAAUGAGUUUAUUUAAUUAGCAAGCUAAAGCGUAUAGAUAUAGGUAAUAGUUAAUUAAAUAAGACCCGAAGCUAAGUGAUCUAACUUUAAUUAAGCUGAAAGUUUUCUAAACUGGAGGGCUGAAUUCGUAAAUGUUGCAAAAUUUUGAAAAAAAUUAAAGUUAGGGGUGAAAGGCUAAUCAAACUUAGUUAUAGCUGGUUUUCUACGAAAUCUAUUUAAGUAGAGUGGUUUUUUAAAUUUUACUAAAGGUAUAAUUUUAAUUUUUUUUAUAAUUUUAAUUAAUUAAAAAAAAAAUAUAAUUUAAUUUUAGUAAAAAAAAAUACUAAACAGACUGUUAGCGCAAAGGUUUUCAGUCAAAAGGGAAACAGCCCAGACUAUAAAAUAAAGUUUUUUAUAUAUAAUACUUAAAGAUAAUAAUAUUUUAUUUAAAAUAAAAAAUAAGCUUGGAAGCAGCUAAUUUUUAAAGAAAGCGUAAUAGCUCAUUAUUUUAAAAAUUUAAAAUGGAUAUUAAAUUAUUAUAUUAUUUUCUAAAAUUUUUCUUUUUAUAUAAACUGAAUUUAUAGAUCUUUAGAUGGUAGUAGAACGUAUUGUUUUUAAUAGUAUUUUUGAAAAAAAAUAUUUAUUAAUCAAUAUUGUAUAUAUUAGUAUUAGUAAUAGAUAUAAUGUAAAAACAUUAUUGUUUAAAUCGUUAGGGUUACUUUUUUAUGAUAAACUUAAAAAGUGUAAGACAAAACCUAUGUAUUUCUAUUGUAUAGUAUAUUAUGGGGAUUAAUGUUAACAUUUAUUUUAUAAUUUUUAAUUAUAAUAAAUUAUUAUUAAAAUUGGAAUAAAUGCUGGAAAAAUCAUUAUAUAAAUUGUACUAACUCUAACACAAGUACGUAAAUUUUUACAAAAUUAAAACAUAAAAGUUAAAAAUAUUAAAGGAACUCGGCAAAUUAACUCUGUAACUUAGGGAUAAAGAGGACUAAAGUAAAAAAAAAAAAAGAGUAGCGACUGUUUAUUAAAAACAUAAGAUUUUGCUAAAUAUUAUUAUGAGGUAUAAGAUCUGACACCUGCCCAGUGCUGCAAAGUGAACGUUAUAUUUAUUUAUAAUAUAAACUCCAGUAAACGGCGGCCGUAACCUUGACGGUCCUAAGGUAGCAAAACUCCUUGGCGGGUAAGUUCCGUCCUGCAUGAAUGGUGUAACGACUGCUCUGCUGUCUCUAAUAUUUGCUUUAUGAAAUUGAAUUAGUUGUGAAGAUGCAACUAUAUAUAGCUAGACGGGAAGACCCUAUGCACCUUUACUAUACUCUGUAUGUAAUUUUUAUUCUUAAUUACAUAGUUAUGUAGUAAAUUUAAAUUAACAAUGAAAAACUACUUUUUUAAGUAUUAAAAUUAAUUAUUAUAGAUUGGUAGUUUAACUGGGGCGGUUGCCUCCUAAAAAGUAACGGAGGUAUAUAAAGAUAGAAAUAAACUUUUAUUUUUGUUUAUUUAUAGUAAUAUCUUAUUUUUUAUUUGAUUACUUUACUAACAAGUAAGGUAAGGGUGAAAGCCUAUUAUAAUGACCCGAUAUUUUUAUAUAAUAGAAAUAUCGAUUAAUGAAUAAAAGGUACGCUAGGGAUAACAGGCUAAUGAUUUUUGAGAGUUCUUAUUGAUAAGAUCGUUUGGCACCUCGAUGUCGGCUCAUCACAUCCUAGUAGUGAAUAAGUUACUAAGGGUUCGGCUGUUCGCCGAUUAAAGUGGUACGUGAGCUGGGUUUAGAACGUUGUGAGACAGUUUGGUCCCUAUCUACUAUAUUUUUUAGAAAAAUUAUAAAAAUUUAUCUUAGUACGAGAGGACUAGAGAGAGUUAACCAAUGGUUUAUUAUUUAUUAUAUUUUUAGUAUUGAUAAUUAGCUAAGUUAAUAAAAAAUAAAUUUUAAUUGAAUUUUUUUUAUAUAUUUUUCUAAUAAACUUCUUAAAGAUUUUAAGAUUUAUUAAUCGUAGUUUCCUGGUUUA
Molecule: ribosomal RNA, 2143 nt
Filed under: Planctomycetota bacterium
Lineage: Bacteria; Pseudomonadati; Planctomycetota
Description: 23S ribosomal RNA
Rfam family: Bacterial large subunit ribosomal RNA
Source: RNAcentral